AAAUUGAAGAGUUUGAUCAUGGCUCAGAUUGAACGCUGGCGGCAGGCCUAACACAUGCAAGUCGAGCGGUAGCACAGAGAGCUUGCUCUCGGGUGACGAGCGGCGGACGGGUGAGUAAUGUCUGGGAAACUGCCUGAUGGAGGGGGAUAACUACUGGAAACGGUAGCUAAUACCGCAUAAUGUCGCAAGACCAAAGUGGGGGACCUUCGGGCCUCAUGCCAUCAGAUGUGCCCAGAUGGGAUUAGCUAGUAGGUGGGGUAACGGCUCACCUAGGCGACGAUCCCUAGCUGGUCUGAGAGGAUGACCAGCCACACUGGAACUGAGACACGGUCCAGACUCCUACGGGAGGCAGCAGUGGGGAAUAUUGCACAAUGGGCGCAAGCCUGAUGCAGCCAUGCCGCGUGUGUGAAGAAGGCCUUCGGGUUGUAAAGCACUUUCAGCGGGGAGGAAGGCGAUAAGGUUAAUAACCUCAUCGAUUGACGUUACCCGCAGAAGAAGCACCGGCUAACUCCGUGCCAGCAGCCGCGGUAAUACGGAGGGUGCAAGCGUU
RNAcentral lists this ribosomal RNA (550 nucleotides) under Klebsiella pneumoniae. RNAcentral describes it as "bacterial SSU rRNA". It matches the Rfam family "Bacterial small subunit ribosomal RNA", at positions 1 to 542 of the family's 1533-position model. The record is from RNAcentral. Lineage: Bacteria; Pseudomonadati; Pseudomonadota; Gammaproteobacteria; Enterobacterales; Enterobacteriaceae.